AGGAGCGUCAAACUACUGAAACCCAACAAAACAAUACACAUAACAUGCUUACACCAUUAAAACAUCACAACAACACCUAAUCAUGUAUAACCCAUGAAAACACUAAAACAACCUAUAUAAGCAACUCUACCCUUAUCCUCUGUAAAAACUGUUAAAACCAAGAAAACAAGAAAAGGAACAACUCUCUUACCUCCUGAAACUAGAAGAGGAACAACUUGAACUCAGUAAAUCCCCUUCACAAGCUUCAAACCACCAAAACCUCUCUUUUCUCUCCAACCCUUCACAACUCUUUGAAACACACUCAACCCUCUGCACGAGCUGAUAAAAGCUUGCAGAUGAGUCAAGGGAGACGUGGCCUAACCUCUGGUCAUGAUCUGGAGGUGAACACCUGGCCAAACCACGGACUGAGGAGCGUGCACAACUAACCGACCACCUCAGCUUCGGCUACCGAAACUGCAUGCAAAACCAUGCAACUUUCGGGGGCCGAACAUAACCUUCGGGGGCCGAACAUUGGGCACUUUCGGCGGCCGAACUUAGCUUCGGCAGCCGAACCUGGCCUUUGUCCCCAAUGCCUUUUCUCUUCAAAACUCACUCCUUUUUCAUUCUAAACCUUUAAAAUACUUACAAAUAAUGUAGAAAACCUUCUCUUACCCGUCUAGAAACCUCUGACAUCCU
This 675-nucleotide long non-coding RNA is filed under the name Manihot esculenta (cassava). RNAcentral's name for it is "long non-coding RNA (MESC_LNC008816)". The record is from RNAcentral. Lineage: Eukaryota; Viridiplantae; Streptophyta; Magnoliopsida; Malpighiales; Euphorbiaceae.